RNAcentral lists this ribosomal RNA (302 nucleotides) under uncultured bacterium. Its description in RNAcentral is "partial 16S ribosomal RNA". It matches the Rfam family "Bacterial small subunit ribosomal RNA", at positions 508 to 809 of the family's 1533-position model. The record is from RNAcentral.
GCAGCAGCCGCGGGAAAACGUAGGGUGCAAGCGUUAAUCGGAAUUACUGGGCGUAAAGCGUGCGCAGGCGGUUCGCUAAGACAGAUGUGAAAUCCCCGGGCUUAACCUGGGAACUGCAUUUGUGACUGGCGGGCUAGAGUAUGGCAGAGGGGGGUAGAAUUCCACGUGUAGCAGUGAAAUGCGUAGAGAUGUGGAGGAAUACCGAUGGCGAAGGCAGCCCCCUGGGCCAAUACUGACGCUCAUGCACGAAAGCGUGGGGAGCAAACAGGAUUAGAUACCCCGGUAGUCCCUGUCUCUUAUAA